CCUACGGGGGGCUGCAGUCGAGAAUCAUUCACAAUGGGGGAAACCCUGAUGGUGCGACGCCGCGUGGGGGAAUGAAGGUCUUCGGAUUGUAAACCCCUGUCAUGUGGGAGCAAAUUAAAAAGAUCGUACCACACGAGGAAGAGACGGCUAACUCUGUGCCAGCAGCCGCGGUAAUACAGAGGUCUCAAGCGUUGUUCGGAAUCACUGGGCGUAAAGCGUGCGUAGGCUGUUUCGUAAGUCGUGUGUGAAAGGCGCGGGCUCAACCCGCGGACGGCACAUGAUACUGCGAGACUAGAGUAAUGGAGGGGGAACCGGAAUUCUCGGUGUAGCAGUGAAAUGCGUAGAUAUCGAGAGGAACACUCGUGGCGAAGGCGGGUUCCUGGACAUUAACUGACGCUGAGGCACGAAGGCCAGGGGAGCGAAAGGGAUUAGAUACCCUUGUAGUC
RNAcentral lists this ribosomal RNA (446 nucleotides) under uncultured bacterium. RNAcentral describes it as "partial 16S ribosomal RNA". It matches the Rfam family "Bacterial small subunit ribosomal RNA", at positions 338 to 795 of the family's 1533-position model. The record is from RNAcentral.